RNAcentral lists this ribosomal RNA (254 nucleotides) under uncultured bacterium. Its description in RNAcentral is "partial small subunit ribosomal RNA". It matches the Rfam family "Bacterial small subunit ribosomal RNA", at positions 26 to 285 of the family's 1533-position model. The record is from RNAcentral.
AGGACGAACGCUGGCGGCGUGCUUAACACAUGCAAGUCGAGCGGAAAGGCCCUUCGGGGUACUCGAGCGGCGAACGGGUGAGUAACACGUGAGUAAUCUGCCCCUAGCUCUGGGAUAGCUCCGGGAAACCGGGAUUAAUACCGGAUACGACCACCUUAGACAUCUUUUGUGGUGGAAAGAAUUUCGGCUAGGGAUGAGCUCGCGGCCUAUCAGCUUGUUGGUGGGGUAACCGCCUACCAAGGCGACGACGGGUA